Molecule: ribosomal RNA, 317 nt
Filed under: uncultured bacterium
Lineage: Bacteria
Description: bacterial SSU rRNA
Rfam family: Bacterial small subunit ribosomal RNA
Source: RNAcentral
AUUGAACGCUGGCGGCAUGCUUUACACAUGCAAGUCGAACGGUAACAGGCCUUCGGGUGCUGACGAGUGGCGAACGGGUGAGUAAUGCAUCGGAACGUGCCCAAUCGUGGGGGAGUAACGUAGCGAAGUUAACGCUAAUACCGCAUAAGCCCUGAGGGGGAAAGGUGGGGCCGGCGAAGGCCUCACGCGAAUGGAGCGGCCGAUGUCAGAUUAGCUAGUUGGUGGGGUAAAGGCCCGACCAAGGCGACGAUCUGUAGCGGGUCUGAGAGGAUGAUCCGCCACACUGGGACUGAGACACGGCCCAGACUCCUACGGGA